AGCAGCCGCGGUAAUUCCAGCUCCAAUAGCGUAUAUUAAAGUUGUUGCAGUUAAAAAGCUCGUAGUUGAAUUUCGGGGUUAGUAGGCUGGUCGUGCCACUGGUAUGUACUGGUCUCACUGAUUCCUCCUUCCUGAUGAGCUGUAAUGCCAUUAAUUUGGUGUUGCAGGGAAUCUGGACUGUUACUUUGAAAAAAUUAGAGUGUUUAAAGCAGGCUAACGCUUGAAUACAUUAGCAUGGAAUAAUGAAAUAGGACGUUCGAUCCUAUUUUGUUGGUUUCUAGGAUUGACGUAAUGAUUAAUAGGGAUAGUUGGGGGCAUUAGUAUUCAAUUGUCAGAGGUGAAAUUCUUGGAUUUAUUGAAGACUAACUACUGCGAAAGCAUUUGCCAAGGAUGUUUUCAUUAAUCAAGAACGAAAGUUGGGGAUCGAAGACGAUCAGAUACCGUCGUAGUCUUAACCAUAAACUAUGCCGACUAGGGAUCGGAUGAUGUUAAUUUUUAAUGACUCAUUC
This 509-nucleotide ribosomal RNA is filed under the name uncultured Glomus. RNAcentral's name for it is "SSU rRNA". It matches the Rfam family "Eukaryotic small subunit ribosomal RNA", at positions 569 to 1081 of the family's 1831-position model. The record is from RNAcentral. Lineage: Eukaryota; Fungi; Glomeromycota; Glomeromycetes; Glomerales; Glomeraceae.